UGGGGAAUAUUGGACAAUGGGCGAAAGCCUGAUCCAGCCAUGCCGCGUGUGUGAAGAAGGUCUUCGGAUUGUAAAGCACUUUAAGUUGGGAGGAAGGGCCAUUACCUAAUACGUGAUGGUUUUGACGUUACCGACAGAAUAAGCACCGGCUAACUCUGUGCCAGCAGCCGCGGUAAUACAGAGGGUGCAGGCGUUAAUCGGAAUUACUGGGCGUAAAGCGCGCGUAGGUGGUUUGUUAAGUUGGAUGUGAAAUCCCCGGGCUCAACCUGGGAACUGCAUUCAAAACUGACUGACUAGAGUAUGGUAGAGGGUGGUGGAAUUUCCUGUGUAGCGGUGAAAUGCGUAGAUAUAGGAAGGAACACCAGUGGCGAAGGCGACCACCUGGACUGAUACUGACACUGAGGUGCGAAAGCGUGGGGAGCAAACAGGAUUAGAUACCCGAGUAGUCCCUGAGCGGGCUGGCAAGGCGCAU
This 472-nucleotide ribosomal RNA is filed under the name uncultured bacterium. RNAcentral's name for it is "bacterial SSU rRNA". It matches the Rfam family "Bacterial small subunit ribosomal RNA", at positions 355 to 825 of the family's 1533-position model. The record is from RNAcentral.